Long non-coding RNA from Haemorhous mexicanus (house finch), 418 nucleotides. RefSeq lists it as uncharacterized. The transcript is spliced from 3 exons. NCBI's taxonomy places the organism in Eukaryota, Metazoa, Chordata, Aves, Passeriformes, Fringillidae. The record is from RefSeq and is a predicted model, not a curated record.
AGGAGACACCCAGAGGUCUCACUGAAGAGCAGACAGGCACAGAAGUUUGACAAGAACCCAUUCUGUCCACAGGUUCAUGUGAAGGAGAAAGGGAAGGACAAAAUCUCAAUAACACAAGGACAAUAUUUGGCACUGACCAGGCAGCUUCAGCUCCUGACAUACCUGGCAUAGCAUGGCUUGCAAGCAUUCCAAUCAAACAACCAGGGCGACUCAUUCUGGGGGCCAAUUUUAAUGGCAAAUGCAAGUGUCUCCUGACCCAUGUGGGAACUGAUAAAAGCCAGGUGCCUCCAUGAAGAACACCAAGCUGCUUCCCAGUGAAGGAACAUCUUACUGAGGUGACACCCACUAAGUCAACAUGACCACCUUCUGCCCUAUGUUUUGGCAUCACCCACCCAUAAAAUGAGAUUUUCUGACAAAA